GAUGAACGCUAGCGGCAGGCCUAAUACAUGCAAGUCGAACGGUCAGCAAUGACAGUGGCGCACGGGUGCGUAACGCGUAUGCAACCUACCCAUCAAAGGGGGAUAGCCCGGGGAAACCCGGAUUAAUACCGCAUAAGAUAGUAUUCUGGCAUCAGAGAGCUAUUAAACAUUUAUGGUUGAUGGAUGGGCAUGCGUUAGAUUAGCUAGUUGGUGUAGUAACGGUGCACCAAGGCAAUGAUCUAUAGGGGUUCUGAGAGGAAGAUCCCCCACACUGGUACUGAGAUACGGACCAGACUCCUACGGGAGGCAGCAGUAGGGAAUAUUGGGCAAUGCUCGCAAGAGUGACCCAGCCAUGCCGCGUGCAGGAAGAAGGCCUUCUGGGUUGUAAACUGCUUUUGGAAGGGAACAAAAUGGGCAUGCGUGCCAACUUGAGUGUACCUUCAGAAUAAGCACCGGCUAACUCCGUGCCAGCAGCCGCGGUAAUACGGAGGGUGCAAGCGUUGUCCGGAUUUAUUGGGUUUAAAGGGUGCGUAGGCGGCUUAUUAAGUCAGGGGUGAAAGACUAUUGCUUAACAAUGGCAGUGCCUUUGAUACUGAUAGGCUUGAGUACAGCUGAGGCAGAUGGAACGGGUGGUGUAGCGGUGAAAUGCAUAGAUACCAUCCAGAACACCGAUUGCGAAGGCAGUCUGCUAAACUGUAACUGACGCUGAGGCACGAAAGCGUGGGGAUCGAACA
RNAcentral lists this ribosomal RNA (734 nucleotides) under Rhodocytophaga sp. enrichment culture. RNAcentral's name for it is "bacterial SSU rRNA". It matches the Rfam family "Bacterial small subunit ribosomal RNA", at positions 28 to 774 of the family's 1533-position model. The record is from RNAcentral. Lineage: Bacteria; Pseudomonadati; Bacteroidota; Cytophagia; Cytophagales; Rhodocytophagaceae.